This 433-nucleotide ribosomal RNA is filed under the name uncultured bacterium. RNAcentral's name for it is "partial 16S ribosomal RNA". It matches the Rfam family "Bacterial small subunit ribosomal RNA", at positions 29 to 507 of the family's 1533-position model. The record is from RNAcentral.
AACGAACGCUGGCGGCAUGCCUAACACAUGCAAGUCGAACGAGACCUUCGGGUCUAGUGGCGCACGGGUGCGUAACGCGUGGGAACCUGCCCUUAGGUUCGGAAUAACUCCCCGAAAGGGGUGCUAAUACCGGAUAAUGUCUUCGGCCCAAAGAUUUAUCGCCUUUGGAUGGGCCCGCGUUGGAUUAGCUAGUUGGUAGGGUAAAAGCCUACCAAGGCGACGAUCCAUGGCUGGUCUGAGAGGAUGAUCAGCCACACUGGGACUGAGACACGGCCCAGACUCCUACGGGAGGCAGCAGUGGGGAAUAGUGGACAAUGGGCGAAAGCCUGAUCCAGCAAGGCCGCGUGAGUGAUGAAGGCCUUAGGGUUGUAAAGCUCUUUUACCCGGGAUGAUAAUGACAGUACCGGGAGAAUAAGCUCCGGCUAACUCCGUG